CCAUCACUUAAUAAAAUGUUUUCCUUUUCUUAUAAUUUAUUGAAAACAAUUUUUCUUUGUCUUAUCCGUGCGUAUCGCUGCUGCCACUCCCUCUUUCACAGCCACUCAUUCCACUGUGAGGGAGGAUUCCGACCAGGAGAAAUCUACCGUUCAGGUCCGUCGCCGGCGGCAAGACCGGAGCUGUAUAGCGCCGUCCAUCUCUGACGCGCUUCGCCGCCCAGAGCUGUCACGGCUAGCGCCACCCGUCUCCGGCGCGCUUCGCCGCCAUGAGCCGCGGGGUUCGAAGGCAGUAAGACAGAAAUCGCCGCCGCUCGCCUCCGGCACGCUGCGCGCGGCCUGUGGCCGUUGUAUUGGCUGGAGGCAAGAUGGGAUCCAUCACGGCUAGCUCCGUUCGCCUAAGGCACGCUGCGCCACGCCCGGCCAUGGACUUGGCCGGCGGCAAGACGGGGGCCGUCGCGGCUAGUGUCGCUCGCCUCCGGCACACCCAAGGCCAGCCCAAGGUUGUGGCUGAUCCGCUCCCUGUGAGAUGGUGGCACGGUGGAACUGCAGCGCGUGCAGCCGGCGGCUGAGAUUCCGUGGGAGUUCGCGUGGUCACAGUGGAAGAUGCGAACUCGAUGCAAACUCAACAGGCAAAGGCGCAAGAACAUACCUACGGACGAUGAAUUGGCAGGAGCUCCGUCCAUGCUGAAGAACACCGUAGAUGUUGAUCCACGGAGAGGACAAUUUCCUAUCAAUCUUGAUCUAUUCUCCUUUGAUCCGGGGGCAACAACAAUGGAAUAGAUUGGUACGAGAAAGGACGGAUGAAGCCAUGAAGAGAUUUUGGCGGCAAUCUGUUGUUACGCGGGAGAUAAACCUGUCGUUUUGCUGAUUUUCUAGAACUUAACUGCAAUUAUAGAGAUACGCUGGGUUGUUUAAGUGGUGGGGCCCUACCGGGACAGGUGUCGGACAUCCGUUGGCCCUGCACGAUAGUGCGUACUGGGAACCCUGCAGGAGAGCCCGACCCGUCAAAACCAUGCCACAUCAGCACAAAACCAUCUGAAUCCGUUUGAGGGACGAAAAUAUCCGGUUUUAAUAAUUGAAGGACUAGAUUUUUUUGGUUUUGUAGUUGAGAGACCAUUUCUAUACUAUCGGUAAAAUUGAGGGGCAAAAAAUAUACUUUUCCCUAUACUAAUUAAAGACGGUCUAUUUUUUUCUCACUCGAAAUCUUCUUAAUUAUCUCUAUUACUCUAUAUGUUGACAUACAUUCAUCUUUCUACCGUCGAAUGUUCGAGGAAUUUUUGAUAAAGCUUAAUCCGGAAGAAGAGUAGAUAAAACAUGAUUAACAUAGUACUCCCUCCGAUUCAUAUUACCCCACGAAGAAACAGGAGGCUUGCGAGUAGGGAUGAAAGCCGGGAAUCGGCAGCGUGGCAGACGUGCGCGGCGGCUCUGGCAAUGGUACACGAGGAGAGGUCGAUUAGCCCAUGUUGGCCUGGGUUUAACCCUAGGUAGAGCAGGGCCUUCUUAGUUGCCGCAGCGACUCUGGUAAUGUUUUCCUCUUGCUAUGCGGCGGCGACGACGACAAGCCCGUGCUGGCCUGGGCUUAACCCUAGGUAGAGCAGGGCCUUCCUCGUUGUCGCAGCGACUAGCAAUGUUUUUCCUCUUGCUGUGCGGCGGUCCUCUUGCUGUGCGGCGGCGGCGGACGCGGCUUCGAGCUUGCAGUCCUACGAGUGCCUCCGGCCCUUCUUCCUCUUAGGCCGACUGCACGACAUGCUGCUCAUCCGUCAACGACUUCUUCUUGGUCGGCACCACCGUCUUGUGGGCUACGUGGGGCUUGCCUUUGGCGGAAGCAGGCCGGAGGCAGCGUCGAGGAUCGGCAUGUCGUUCAUGACAAGCGGCCGGAAGCGUGAGUAAGCGGGAAUUUUUUGGGAAAGAGAGGGAAAUGAGGAUGGUUGUACCGCCGACUAGCAGACUAAGGGGAGGAGUAGGCAAGCGUUGUAGGUGCCAACGCAAACAAGGUCUAAAUUUGAACCAGGAUGAUCGCGCGACGGACAAAAAAUAGAUGUAGGCCACGUUUAGAUCAGCGUCUUGGACUGCCUUUUAUAUCCGUUUGGACCCAAACAAACAGGACUAAUUAGUCCGCGUUGGAGUUGCUCUGAGGCCCGUGUCCCACAUCGCGCGCGCAAGGUGUCCGCAAUUAUUUUCCUGUUCGCGCGCAGCUCGGCGAGUGGCGGGCGUGGAGGUCGCCUGCGCCGCCGACAUCGCAGCGACUCUCCGGCUGUGCUCUGCUCCACCACCCAACCACCCUUUCGACGUACUACUCCAGAAGGAUUCAGCCGGCUGUUACUGGAGCCCGCGCCGUGCCGCGCCCGUGCAGGUCAUCCUAUCAUAGGGAUAUUUCCUUGAUCCAUCUGGAGGAUUGUUUGAAGGUAUUUUGGUGUGAUUUUUCCAUUGGAAGUGAACUUCAUAUUUCCAUUGAAAAAAAAGUGUCCUCACAUAGAAAGAUGACUGCUAAUAACGGCAUUCUGAUUUUAAGUCCACUUGUUAUGUUCUGAUUUUUGCCAAAAAAGGUUUUCGCCUUGCUUUAUAUAUAAAGCAUCGAUCAUCAAGCACCCAGUACAAACACACGCCACCGCAACACACGCACACACCCAGGGCAGGAUACAUAGGCGCUGAGCGCAGCAACACCACCCCUAGCACUGUCACCACGAAGAGAUGAAGCUACAUAUGACGAACCAUGUGUUCCAAGGCGGCGUCUUCGGGAAGGGUACGACACCGGAGCGCCGCCACUGCUCGAUCCUAGUAUCAGAGUUUUCCCUGGAGCCGCAUGACGGGCAAUGAGAGCCGCGACGAUGCCUUCAAAAAGGGAACGAUCUUCGCCGCCGCCGGUCCGUCCGAAGAUAGAACAGGUUUUCACCUCGGCCAACACUCACUGGCAUCGAACGCCACACCUCGGCAACCAUGCGCCCACACGGCCAUGGUGACCGGGCAGCACCAAGGCACGGGCUCUCUGCCCAAGAGCACCGUGCUACCACCACUAGGGCCACCGCCUCGGCAUCCAAGACGUUAACACCACCUCACCCGAGACCCGCCGCAACCCCAACAAAAAAGACGAGCGGAAAGGUCCCACCUUUCGUACCCCUGGGCGACCCCCAGCGUCGAGACCCAACAGGCCGGCCAGAACUGGCAUCCACCGACCCGUCCUGCUACCCCGAGUGCGAGACGAGCUCGGUCCUGCAGCACCGGGAGGGGGACGAGGUCAGUCCUGCUGCACCGUGCGCGAGACGAGCUCAGUCCUGCGGCAUCGGGAGGGGGACGAGGUUAGUCCCGCUGCACCGUGCACGAGACGAGCUCGGUUCUGCAGCACCGGGCGUGAGACAAGCGGUGGACCACAACUGGGAGAGGACCAGCCCUUUGAUGGGAAUAGCGCCCGGGCGACGAGGAGAUGGCGAAGGUCGAGACGGUCCGAACACAGACGAACCGACGCCAAAGCAGAGUCCGGUCGUCGCCGUGGCCGAGACCACCGAACCAUCGUGUAGCCGACACGUCACAGGAAGGUCACCGCAAAGCCAAACCUCAUCGUGUCGCCGCCGCCCACGGCCAGAGCAGCCACCACGCUGAGCAACUGCCCCACCCGCACCAUCCGCCAGGAUCCACGCAUCAGAUCCGGCGCCAUCCACCACCAUCUUCCACAGAGCCGACCACGAGGUGCAGCGGCAACCAAAUCCACCGCCAGCCGAGCUCCCACGCGAGCCGAACCAGCCCGGCCGCCGUUGAGCCCAAGUCUCCCGGAGGCACACCAGGAGCCAGAUCUGGGCAUGCCCAGCCAUGGCCGCCGGCGCCCCUGGCCACCCUCGCGGACACGGAGCCGCCCGCGCAGCCACCAUGACCAGGCGGCGUCGCCUGCCGGCCGGUCGCCGCGCCGCCACGCCCCCCGCAUGCGCCGCGCCUCCACCUGGAUGCGUCGUCCCGCGCCACCCGCUGCCAAGCAAAGAGGAGAGGCCGCCCCACCGCCGGCGGCGGCAACCGGGCUUUGCCCGGCCGCGCCCUCAGGCGGCGGCGAGGGAGGGAGGAGGGGGAGGAGGCGGGGUCUCCGGCGGCGGCGGUUAGGUCUCCUCCCGUGACGGGAGCCUCUCUGUUUCGUCCUCUGUUUUCGUUGCACUGUUACUCUGAUUUUUUGUGAAUAGAAACUGUUGAUCAGUGAAUCUCUCUGUUACUCUGUCAGUACGGAGAGAACAGUCCAGAUACGAAGGGAUCAACACCAUGGCUCUGAUCAA
Non-coding RNA from Triticum urartu, 4253 nucleotides. Lineage: Eukaryota; Viridiplantae; Streptophyta; Magnoliopsida; Poales; Poaceae. The record is from RefSeq and is a predicted model, not a curated record.